This 295-nucleotide unclassified non-coding RNA is filed under the name uncultured fungus. RNAcentral's name for it is "partial contains small subunit ribosomal RNA, internal transcribed spacer 1, and 5.8S ribosomal RNA". The stretch from base 1 to 73 matches the Rfam family "Eukaryotic small subunit ribosomal RNA", at positions 1759 to 1831 of the family's 1831-position model. Lineage: Eukaryota; Fungi. The record is from RNAcentral.
GCAAACUUGGUCAUUUAGAGGAAGUAAAAGUCGUAACAAGGUUUCCGUAGGUGAACCUGCGGAAGGAUCAUUAUCGAGGAAGGGUCUUCUAGGCCCGAUCUCCAACCCUUGUGACUAAAAUACCAAGUUGCUUUGGCAGGCUGCCCCUUAUGGGCCGUGGGGUUCCGUCGAUCGUUAGCCCAUGCCUGCCAGAAGCCUUCAAAAACUCCUAAAGAAUGUGUUGUCUGAGGAUAGAAUAAUAAUUAAAACUUUCAACAACGGAUCUCUUGGCUCUGGCAUCGAUGAAGAACGCAGC